GUCAUCAGUGGCUGGGUAGAUGAGAGGGAGAGCAGUGGAUGUUUUGUACUUGACUUCAGCAAAAGCACUUGACAACGUAUCCCACAACAUCCUUGGACAGUGACUCCACCACCUCCAUGGGCAGCCUGUUCUGGCACCUGAUCACUCUCCAGAGAAGAAGAUUUUCCUAUCAACCUGAAUCAUUAAGAUAUUUGCAAAGUUGGUGUUUGGUUGUUAAUAUCUGAAAAUGGAUGCCUGACUUUGACCAGUGGAAAUGUUUGUGUGAUGAAGCAUCCAGUCAACUGGCCUCUAUCAACAUCUAAUGUCUCAGGAUCAACAGGAAAUAUUUAAGAUUCACACUGAGACUGGAUUUCUUCCAUAGGAUGAGCUGCUUGAAAGCUUUUCUUCCUAAUCUUGCCAUGCUGGAGAAGUUAUGAAUAUGAUAUUCUGAAAUCUGCUCAGCUGAGUCCUGAAAAUGGAAAAGAAAGCUCAAGGUCUCCUAGAGGGGUAAAUCUCCAUACAUCCAAUAAGUGCAAUACAAUAGGUCAUUUAGAGACAUUUUCAUUAAACUAACUGGAUAUCCAGAAUCAUUAGGAUAAUAUGUUUCCAUUUUUCAUGUUUCAAUGAUGUAGUAUUAAAUCAGAGGAUUAUUGGGUUGUUCUUCUCCUCCCUCCCACCUUGGUUUGCAUUGUUUUCACUGACUUAAAGCACCAGGGUAUUAUGAUAUAUAUUAUGGUAUAUGGUAUUAUGGAAUGAUACAGCUCAUUUAAAAUAAAUAGAAAUAUUCUGUCACAUAGUAUAAACACCACUAGACAUACUGUAGAAUAGUGUUAUAAUUUCAUGGCUUAUGAUGUACUCAGUAGAUCGGGUGCCUUGGUAUUAGCAUCUUUUUUUUCUCUCUUUAUGAUUUUUUACAAUAAUCACAACAUAUGUGCUUACCUGUAGAGUCUUACAACACCACUCCUUCUCCAAUGGCUACCAUGAUGAUUCUUUCUCAUUCUGGAUACCUGGAACUUUUUAGCAUUAAGUCAGCUGGCAGCAACUGGUUCACACAGUGCUGGGAAAGUCAUACCCAGAGUGAUGAUAAGUGCAACAACACACAUAUAACUCUGAUCCUUUUAGCCAAAUUGAAAUCUUUGCUCAUAAUUCAAAUGUUCACACAUCUGCUUAAGCUUCUUUCCUUCCUACUGAUGGAAGCAGGUGGGUGGCAAUCUUCAGAAUCUGUUGUCUAAUGUAUACUAUUUUAAGAAAGGAUGAGGAAGAAUGAAAGAUGUAUAACAAAAAAGAAGAAAAGAAAAAAAAUCACUUUGAGUCUUACACAGUGUAAGUUCUGUUGUAGUGCCUCUUAUUUUUAAUGACAGUUAUUCUAACAGAUGGGCUAUGGCUAGCAGUUAGAAUAGUAGAAUUCAGUGCAAGAAAAAACUAUGCUGGCAAAUAAUUAUAAAAAAACAUUUUGACAUAUGGUAAUACAGCAUUGCUUGGGAAGGACUUAAUGAAAGUCUCACUUUCUGUCAUGUCUUAAGCUGUAAACAAAUUAAUUUGUUUCUGGAAACAAGCCCUGGACUAGAAUCAUUUGUUUAGCUAAUGAGGUAUGACUGCAUGACGUCAUAGCAUGCGUAAUAGUGUGGGCUCUGUUACUGGAACGUAGGCUUUGGGCAAAACAAAAAGACUUAAAAGCUCAUUCUUCGAUGUUCAGUAAACCACCAGACCAAAGCCAUGUUGGAUUAACUCUCCUCAGUAAAACAAACAAAUAUGUUGGCUGUCCUUCUCUAAAAUUUGAUUCAGUUCAGUAUUGUCCAUUUUCAGUUCCACCCAGGCAGGUAAAUAAAAGCAAAACAAUAAAAAUCUCUUCCAGUUUCACAAGGAAAUGUAUUCUAUUAAU
This is a long non-coding RNA of Gallus gallus (chicken), 1861 nucleotides long. RefSeq lists it as uncharacterized. Lineage: Eukaryota; Metazoa; Chordata; Aves; Galliformes; Phasianidae. The record is from RefSeq and is a predicted model, not a curated record. The transcript has 3 exons.